Cordylochernes scorpioides is the source of this 80-nucleotide non-coding RNA. The record is from the annotation of a GenBank genome assembly. NCBI's taxonomy places the organism in Eukaryota, Metazoa, Arthropoda, Arachnida, Pseudoscorpiones, Chernetidae.
GUCCACUAGGCUACCCUGGCUAGGACAUGGCACCUGCCCGGGAAGCAGAAGGUUGUGGGUUCGAUUCCCGCCCUUGGACA